CCAGACUCCUACGGGAGGCAGCAGUGGGGAAUAUUGCACAAUGGGGGAAACCCUGAUGCAGCGACGCCGCGUGAGUGAAGAAGUAUUUCGGUAUGUAAAGCUCUAUCAGCAGGAACGAGACAAGACGGUACCUGACUAAGAAGCCCCGGCUAACUACGUGCCAGCAGCCGCGGUAAUACGUAGGGGGCAAGCGUUAUCCGGAAUCACUGGGUGUAAAGGGAGCGUAGACGGCUGUGCAAGCCUGAAGUGAAAGGCGGGGGCCCAACCCCUGGACUGCUUUGGGAACUGUACGGCUGGAGUGCAGGAGAGGUAAGUGGAAUUCCUAGUGUAGCGGUGAAAUGCGUAGAUAUUAGGAGGAACACCAGUGGCGAAGGCGACUUUCUGGACUGUACCUGACGCUGAGGCGCGAAAGCGUGGGUAGCGAACGGGAUUAGAUACCCUGGUAU
This 446-nucleotide ribosomal RNA is filed under the name uncultured bacterium. Its description in RNAcentral is "bacterial SSU rRNA". It matches the Rfam family "Bacterial small subunit ribosomal RNA", at positions 331 to 793 of the family's 1533-position model. The record is from RNAcentral.